RNAcentral lists this ribosomal RNA (259 nucleotides) under uncultured bacterium. Its description in RNAcentral is "partial 16S ribosomal RNA". It matches the Rfam family "Bacterial small subunit ribosomal RNA", at positions 793 to 1055 of the family's 1533-position model. The record is from RNAcentral.
GUCCGCACAGUAAACGAUGAAUACUUGCUUUGGCGAUAUACGGUCGGAGGCAAAGCGAAAGCGAUAAGUAUUCCACCUGGGGAGUACGCCGGCAACGGUGAAACUCAAAGGAAUUGACGGGGCCCGCACAAGCGGAGGAACAUGUGGUUUAAUUCGAUGCUACGCGAGGAACCUUACCCGGGCUUGAAAGUUAGUGAAUGCCGAGGAAACUUGGCAGGCCCCGCAAGGGACACGAAACUAGGUGCUGCAUGGUUGUCGU